Long non-coding RNA from Gymnodraco acuticeps, 1764 nucleotides. RefSeq lists it as uncharacterized. NCBI's taxonomy places the organism in Eukaryota, Metazoa, Chordata, Actinopteri, Perciformes, Bathydraconidae. The transcript has 3 exons. The record is from RefSeq and is a predicted model, not a curated record.
GGCUGAUCUCCCUGAGAGAGACAGUGUGAGCGGAGUGGAGUCAGGGGGAAGAAGGGAGGGAGUAAGUCAGCCAACGAACAACCAUUACACAACAGAGUCGAGCCCGAGAUGGUGAAGAGAGACAGUGGUGUAGAAAGGAAUUAUCUUAGCUCAAGUGAAAGUAGAGGACGGGGAAGAAAGACAGAAAAAGGAAGACAGAGCAACAAAGAGACUGCAAAAGCAAGAUCAGCAACAAAGUUAAUACGUCCAUCAACCCGAGUUUGAGCACUCGAGCACGUUAACUUUGUUCAGAGUCAGAGGGUAUAAGGGGAUCUGGAGAAGGAAGAGAUGGAAGCCGUGGAGAGAUGAGCACAGGACGGGAGAGGAGGGACACAAAGAGAGGAUGUGAGAGAGACGGGCAGCUCCAAAACGACUCUGUCCAGCCCGCUACGCACCGCUCGGAUCAGAACCACUGAGCCGUCCGGACCACACCACUCUGCAGACUGCCAAAACAACAGAACCAUGGUUAUUAUAUAUCAUGGAUCUACACAUAAUACACAUUUCACAUAUGCAUACAUUUAUCAGUGUGGACUAACAUAAAGACAUGGAAAGGAGAACAAACAAGUACAUCGCCAAGAGUUGAAGCUAAAUAACAUGAACUCCUCAUAACAUUGACACAAAUGAAUAGAAUACAAUGUAAAUAACAAGAAACUGACCUGCUGAGGAGGACUGAGCAGAGGAGGAGGGAUGGCAUCUCUCUCCCAUCCUCUAGGUGGAGCUGAAGGAGAACAAAUGGUCUGCGGGGCUGCGAUGUUCCCCCCCGGUAGUGUUUCUGCUCCUGGGUCCUGUGGUCGCAGAUGGAGGCGUCCUCCUGUCGCCUGGAAGAUCUCGUGUUGAUGUCUUCCAUUGAACUCUGGGUAAAAUCUGUGUCACUUCCUAUAUCCUGGUCUCUUUUGAGAGGUCUGGAAAGCAAAAGCACAAUUUUGAUAUAUUACAUAAAAAAAACUGCCAACAGUAAUACUGUGUUUUCUUUUCUUUUCUUAUUAUUCUGAUUUAUGAGUCGCCCAUAAGCUCUGAAAACAAACCCAAAUACAAUACAGUCUUGCCUAAAACAUGCAUGUGUUGAUUGAUAGGUUUUGAGGAAAUGGACUCUGCAAUAUGACAGGAAUUACAGUUAGUUAUUGUUUCAUGACCCUGAGAGGGCCAAAAAAUGUAUUUUCUUUGUAAAUACUUUUUUUGCAAUUAUUGCCUUCGCUUAUUUGAUAGAAUAACAGUAUAAGUAUAUAUUUUGGCUCGACCAAUACUAAAUAAAUACAAUGUUUGAUGAAUUAAUAAAAAAUAAUGCCCAUAUGGUGACAUCCAAUCCUCAAAUUGCUUGUUUUGUGGGACCUGCAGUCAUAAACCAAAUGAUGCAAAUGUCUCUACAAUUAUAUAUAUAUAUAAGCAUACUGAAUGUAAAAUAGAAAAUGUUCGACUUAGUCUUAAAUGAUUGCCUGAAUAUUAAAACUGUUUUUUUAAUUUAAACUAAUAAUCAAUUAAUCGACUAAUUGUUUCAGAAAAUAGGGAUGGAAAAGUUAAUGAGUAGUUUGAUUUCUCCCUAUGUAAUUACUGUCCAAUUGCUGUGAAUACCAUUUGAAGUGUUAAAGAUCCCAUGCCAUGCUUUAAGACCCGUACACACCUGUGUGUGUUAUGUAGCUUUUUAUGAAUGUAAACGGUCUGCAAAGUCACAAAUCCUCAAAGAACACCCUGUAGCGAGUACAACUCUAACACAGAAAAGACCUGCUA